This is a long non-coding RNA of Ostrea edulis (European flat oyster), 971 nucleotides long. RefSeq lists it as uncharacterized. The transcript is spliced from 2 exons. The record is from RefSeq and is a predicted model, not a curated record. NCBI's taxonomy places the organism in Eukaryota, Metazoa, Mollusca, Bivalvia, Ostreida, Ostreidae.
CGGGAGUUAAUCUACAAAUAUUGAAUGAUUGAAACUGUAUGUGAUAGAUGUGUUUCCGAGGAACAAAGUUAUCUUGGCGUGGAGAAUGAGAUUCAUUAAAGAAGUCUUUCAAAUUCUUAUGGAGAUAACAUGGCAUGUUACCUUGUAUUUUGUAAAACUACUUAUUAUCUAUGGGUCGUAUUUUGUUAUCAGAGAAAACUGCGUGUUCGCCAUUCACAUGUGAUAGACCUACUUAAAAUCAGUAAGUUUGCGGUAAUGGAAACGAACAUUUUCCAUAAUGUAAGGAAUAAUAUCUUAACCACCAAGCAUAUCAAAGUGGAUAUGACUGAAAUCAACAGAUGAAUAAGUGUGUCCUAGAACGACCCAGGAGAUGCUGAGGAACCGUAUCCCAUUCAAUGCAGUCAGUGUUCCAGGGGAAUGAUUUACUGCGAGAAGCUUCUUCCCAUUGGUGUAAGCAGAAAACGAAAGCAGUAACUUUUCCAAUGUCGCUGUUAAAUUCAUUUAGGAGGAUUAAUGUCAAUGAUACCUUAAAUUUACUUCAUCAAAACUUUUAAAUAUCAAAAAACCUUUGUUGAUAUAUUUUACUCACAUUUUUUUCUUUUGGAGACAUUUGUCAUUUCAUUCACCAGCUGAGGAUCUCCCUCGAAAUGUGCAAUUUCUAUAGAUUGAGUGGGCCCAGUCUUUGGUAUACCGGUGCAAUACGACCAUUGAUGGGAUAUCAAGUCAAACGUUGAGCUUAUCAAGAUGAUGACAGCAAAUACUCCGAGUAUGAUUCUGAUGAGGGUUUUUUUUUUAUAGUUAAGCAUUUCAGAUCCAAUAUAGAUAAACAUAUUUUGAAAUGACAAACAUCGGAGAUGAUUUUAAAAUGAUUUUCAUCGAUAAAUAAAUGAAGUUGACAACGAAAAAGAAUGUACCAAUGUUACCUGUAUGCAAAUAGUUUCGUAAUUAGCUAUUAAACAUAUGUAAUUUUC